UCCUUCUUAGCUCAGUUGGUAGAGCGCGUCACUAGUAUUAUUUGCCUAGCGAUGCUAAUGACGAGGUCAGUCGUUCAAGUCGGCUAGAAGGAA
Non-coding RNA from Gymnopus androsaceus JB14, 93 nucleotides. The record is from the annotation of a GenBank genome assembly. Lineage: Eukaryota; Fungi; Basidiomycota; Agaricomycetes; Agaricales; Omphalotaceae.